Amblyraja radiata (thorny skate) is the source of this 159-nucleotide long non-coding RNA. RefSeq lists it as uncharacterized. The record is from RefSeq and is a predicted model, not a curated record. The transcript is spliced from 3 exons. NCBI's taxonomy places the organism in Eukaryota, Metazoa, Chordata, Chondrichthyes, Rajiformes, Rajidae.
GGGCUUUCUCCAAGAUCCUCGGUUUCCUCCCACAUUCCAAAGACGUACAGGUUUGUAGGUUAAUUGGCUUGAUAAAUGUAAAAAUUGUCCAGUAUAAAAUUGUCCAAUUUCCAGUAUAGUUCCUGGUGGGUACACAGAAAUGCUGGAGUCACUCAGCGG